ACUGUAUUCUGAACAUAGGCAGCGGGUCAUUGGUACCCCUAUCUUUAAUAUGGAUGCAAGACUUGUUGGAUUCGUUCAUUUUUGUAGGAAUACAUUUGAUGUCAAGCUUGCUGCGAGAUCAGAAGUAUUGUCUUCCAAUCUGAAUAAAUGGCUAAAGGGUAAAGAGUUGAAAGACCACAUCGCACCUUACAUUAAGAAAAGGUGGCCCAGUUCGAAGAGUUAAAACAACAUUUGUCUCAUCAAAGUGCAUGACUUGUUACUCUGCAAGCGAAGUGCUAGAUGAUUGAGAUGUUUGGUUGUAGGCGCAACAUGAACUGCAAG
Phragmites australis (common reed) is the source of this 321-nucleotide long non-coding RNA. RefSeq lists it as uncharacterized. NCBI's taxonomy places the organism in Eukaryota, Viridiplantae, Streptophyta, Magnoliopsida, Poales, Poaceae. The transcript is spliced from 3 exons. The record is from RefSeq and is a predicted model, not a curated record.